GCUGAGCCUGGAGACAGCCAGCAGAAGGGACCUGAAGCUUGUGGACAUGCUGGCUGGCUGGCUGCUUUCUUCUGGAGCCCUUGGUUUCUUAAACGAUAAUGAAUGAAAGAUCCAAAUCUGUCCCACACAGGUAAUCUUUGCCA
Molecule: long non-coding RNA, 143 nt
Filed under: Ictidomys tridecemlineatus (thirteen-lined ground squirrel)
Lineage: Eukaryota; Metazoa; Chordata; Mammalia; Rodentia; Sciuridae
Description: lncRNA (ENSSTOG00000029711.1)
Source: RNAcentral